CCUACGGGAGGCAGCAGUGGGGAAUAUUGGACAAUGGGGGAAACCCUGAUCCAGCCAUGCCGCGUGUGUGAAGAAGGCUCUAGGGUUGUAAAGCACUUUAAGUUGUGAGGAAAGCAUUAUUGCGAAUAGUGAUGAUGUGUGACGUUAGCAACAGAAUAAGCACCGGCAAACUCCGUGCCAGCAGCCGCGGUAAUACGGAGGGUGCGAGCGUUAAUCGGAUUUACUGGGCGUAAAGCGAGCGUAGGCGGCGUUGUAAGUUGGAUGUGAAAGCCCGGGGCUUAACCCCGGAACUGCAUCCAAAACUGCAAUGCUAGAGUAUAGUAGAGGGAGGUAGAAUUUCCGGUGUAGCGGUGAAAUGCGUAGAGAUCGGAAGGAAUACCAGCGGCGAAGGCGGCCUCCUGGACUAAUACUGACGCUGAGGUUCGAAAGCGUGGGGAGCAAACAGGAUUAGAUACCCUGGUAGUCCACGCCGUAAACGAUGAGUGCUAGCUGUUGGUGCUAUAGGGCAUUAGUAGCGCAGUUAACGCGAUAAGCACUCCGCCUGGGGAGUACGGCCGCAAGGUUAAAACUCAAAUGAA
This 578-nucleotide ribosomal RNA is filed under the name uncultured bacterium. Its description in RNAcentral is "bacterial SSU rRNA". It matches the Rfam family "Bacterial small subunit ribosomal RNA", at positions 338 to 909 of the family's 1533-position model. The record is from RNAcentral.